Molecule: small RNA, 669 nt
Filed under: Pan troglodytes (chimpanzee)
Lineage: Eukaryota; Metazoa; Chordata; Mammalia; Primates; Hominidae
Description: retained intron
Source: RNAcentral
AUCUGAUAGUGAAUUUAACUCUCUUUCAUUUCUGGCGAAAUUAAAGAGAUCUGUGACCAAAAGUAGUCAAGCACUGGAGUCUGAGGUUUUCAAUGUGAGUUUAAUAACACAACUUGUCUUUUAACUUAGGUGGCCUGCCAUGGGUAUCCAUGGUGACAAGAGUCAACAAGAGCGUGACUGGGUUCUAAAUGAAUUCAAACAUGGAAAAGCUCCUAUUCUGAUUGCUACAGAUGUGGCCUCCAGAGGGCUAGAUGUGGAAGAUGUGAAAUUUGUCAUCAAUUAUGACUACCCUAACUCCUCAGAGGAUUAUAUUCAUCGAAUUGGAAGAACUGCUCGCAGUACCAAAACAGGCACAGCAUACACUUUCUUUACACCUAAUAACAUAAAGCAAGUGAGCGACCUUAUCUCUGUGCUUCGUGAAGCUAAUCAAGCAAUUAAUCCCAAGUUGCUUCAGUUGGUCGAAGACAGAGGUUCAGGUCGUUCCAGGGGUAGAGGAGGCAUGAAGGAUGACCGUCGGGACAGAUACUCUGCGGGCAAAAGGGGUGGAUUUAAUACCUUUAGAGACAGGGAAAAUUAUGACAGAGGUUACUCUAGCCUGCUUAAAAGAGAUUUUGGGGCAAAAACUCAGAAUGGUGUUUACAGUGCUGCAAAUUACACCAAUGGGAGCUU